RNA transcript from Hydractinia symbiolongicarpus, 1346 nucleotides. RefSeq lists it as uncharacterized. The transcript has 2 exons. The record is from RefSeq and is a predicted model, not a curated record. Lineage: Eukaryota; Metazoa; Cnidaria; Hydrozoa; Anthoathecata; Hydractiniidae.
AUUGCAUCAAUAUUUUAUCAACAUUAAAACAAUUUAGCCACUCAUAUGCGGGGUUACAUGUUUCUUAACCCUUAGAAGACUCACCUGCUUUUGAAAAGACUCUUUUUUUUGCCAAAAAGUGAGCUUAUGAUUACCACAAUACCACCAUAUUGUGUACGUCAGACAGGAACAUACACAAUAUGGAGUCGGUUUAUUUUGGUGAGCUAAAUUUUGCAUGACAUAGAGAGAACCGAAAGAAAUACCAAAUCUAGAGUUGGGUUUACUUCGCAAAUAGCGCCAUUUAUAACAUGUUUGUGAUAGAAAAAAAAAACCCGUAAAGUUUCGCGCGCUCUUAAAGUACACACAAGAUAUAUAACAAUGUUUAAAUCACGUGCCCGUCACGUGCUUGUCUUUUAUAUUUAUUUAUUUACUUUUCUUUUUGUGAUCACUUUUCAUGUAUGCACAUAUAACACGAAUUUCCAAAAUAACAGUCUUUCCCUUUUUUAACUGUAAAAUACCGUUAAACAUCGAAAACUUAAAACAAAAGCCAAUAACUUUAAAAUAUAGUUCAUGCCAUCUUUUAAAAUCUAGUUAUUUUGCAACUCUGUUUCCGGGGUCUUCCAUUUUUGUAAAGAAGAUGGCGUGAUAUUAAAUAAGAGUCCUGGGGAAUAGAUUAGUAAUUACACAUGGAAAUUGUAAGUUGAAAACAUAUGAUGGAAAAAGAUUACGCAAACUUCAGGUGGUGAUGUCUUGCCAGUGCAUUCCAUUAUUUCAUAAAAUGCACUCCUCAAAGCAAGACAAGAAGAAAACAAAGACCUUUAUUUGGUCGUCUGGUUGGAUGUUCCUAAAACGUUCUGCAGAAUUGACACAUCAGAAUGUCGAACUGGCAGACUUGAAUGAACAAGCUGAAAAAAUCCCAAUGUACGACGCCGUAGAUGGAGCUGUUGAGGUUAAGAAGAGUGAAGAUGAAAAGCUCUUAAAAAAGUACCGUGAAAUGCCACGAAGAGGGGCAAUCUGCGAAAUGAACAUUGCCGAGAGACUUGGACUCCCUCGAGUCUUGCGAAGAAGUAUUCACAUACAAUCCAUCAGUAAAUAUGGCUUGGUGUAAAACGAUUGCAAAUAAGAUAUGUGCUCUUUUAUUUAGCAAACUUUCAAAUUGAGCAGGGACUCUUGUACAUAUAAUCAAAAAAUGAAGUUAUGGUCUAAAAUUGUAAAUAACUGUGUCAGAGUAUAUUUUUACAUGUUAUCUUUUGGGAUUAUAUAUAUGAAAAUUAUUUAAAGAGAGUACGUUCAUGAAGUCUUAUAAAGUAGUAGUGUUUCAUGAAAGAAGUUCGAGAAAUAUCCUGUCAGUUAAAAGACAUUUAAUA